This 126-nucleotide ribosomal RNA is filed under the name Diaphorina citri (Asian citrus psyllid). The record is from RNAcentral. Lineage: Eukaryota; Metazoa; Arthropoda; Insecta; Hemiptera; Psyllidae.
GCCAGCGGCUAUAGCACGUCAAAAGCACCAGGUCACCAUGGAUCACUGGAGUUAAGCAACCUCGCGCGUGGUUAGUAUCCAGAUGGGUGACAUACUAACCAUUUGGUCAAUCGCGUGCUGGUGGCU